This 228-nucleotide ribosomal RNA is filed under the name uncultured bacterium. Its description in RNAcentral is "partial 16S ribosomal RNA". It matches the Rfam family "Bacterial small subunit ribosomal RNA", at positions 15 to 236 of the family's 1533-position model. The record is from RNAcentral.
GAUCAUGGCUCAGGACGAACGCUGGCGGCACGCUUAACACAUGCAAGUCGAACGAGAGAAGAGAAGCUUGCUUUUCUGAUCUAGUGGCGGACGGGUGAGUAACACGUGAGCAAUCUGCCUUUCAGAGGGGGAGUACCGAUUGGAAACGAUCGUUAAUACCGCAUAAUAUAAUUGAACCGCAUGAUUUGAUUAUCAAAGAAUUUAUUCGCUGAAAGAAUGAGCUCGCGU